AAACUUUUAACAACGGAUCUCUUGGCUCUCGCAUCGAUGAAGAACGCAGCGAAAUGCGAUAAGUAAUGUGAAUUGCAGAAUUCAGUGAAUCAUCGAAUCUUUGAACGCACCUUGCACCUUUUGGUAUUCCAAAAGGUACACCUGUUUGAGUGUCAUGA
This 158-nucleotide ribosomal RNA is filed under the name Puccinia punctiformis. RNAcentral's name for it is "5.8S ribosomal RNA". It matches the Rfam family "5.8S ribosomal RNA". From Rfam's summary of the family: 5.8S ribosomal RNA (5.8S rRNA) is a component of the large subunit of the eukaryotic ribosome. The record is from RNAcentral. Lineage: Eukaryota; Fungi; Basidiomycota; Pucciniomycetes; Pucciniales; Pucciniaceae.